This 380-nucleotide ribosomal RNA is filed under the name uncultured eukaryote. RNAcentral's name for it is "partial 18S ribosomal RNA". It matches the Rfam family "Eukaryotic small subunit ribosomal RNA", at positions 592 to 976 of the family's 1831-position model. The record is from RNAcentral.
CAAUAGCGUAUAUUAAAGUUGUUGCAGUUAAAAAGCUCGUAGUUGGAUUUGUGGCGUACGGUGGGUUCCGGGCACUUGUUGUCUGAGUAACUUGCUGUUGCCAUCCUUGGGUGGAACCUGUGUGGCAUUAGGUUGUCGUGCAGGGGAUGCCCAUCAUUUACUGUGAAAAAAUUAGAGUGUUCUAAGCAGGCUUAUGCCGUUGAAUAUAUUAGCAUGGAAUAAUGAGAUAGGACUUUUUUGCUAUUUUGUUGGUUUGCGCAAAGAGGUAAUGAUUAAUAGGGACAGUUGGGGGUAUUCGUAUUCCAUUGUCAGAGGUGAAAUUCUUGGAUUUUUGGAAGACGAACUACUGCGAAAGCAUUUACCAAGGAUGUUUUCAUUAA